CUAUUAUGAUCAAAGUUAUUAUUCAAGAGUUAAUAAACAGUUAUGAAGAAGGAGGAAAAUGGAUCUACAACAGUAAAAAUAGUACAAUAAUUUAUUCAAAUGCCAAGAUGACAAAGGACAUAGAAGAACUACCUAGAUGGAUUACUACCCAUGCAAAUUGGAAAAUUACACCAACAACUAAUGCAUUAAGGACUUAUCCAAAG
RNAcentral lists this long non-coding RNA (203 nucleotides) under Nicotiana benthamiana. RNAcentral's name for it is "long non-coding RNA (NBEN_LNC005939)". The record is from RNAcentral. Lineage: Eukaryota; Viridiplantae; Streptophyta; Magnoliopsida; Solanales; Solanaceae.